This 229-nucleotide ribosomal RNA is filed under the name uncultured bacterium. RNAcentral's name for it is "partial 16S ribosomal RNA". It matches the Rfam family "Bacterial small subunit ribosomal RNA", at positions 568 to 796 of the family's 1533-position model. The record is from RNAcentral.
UACGUAGGCGGUUUACUAAGUCAGAUGUGAAAGCCCCGGGCUUAACCUGGGAACUGCAUUUGAUACUGGUAGGCUAGAGUAUGGUAGAGGGGGGUAGAAUUCAUGGUGUAGCGGUGAAAUGCGUAGAUAUUAUGAGGAAUACCAGUGGCGAAGGCGGCCCCCUGGACCAAUACUGACGCUGAGGUACGAAAGCGUGGGUAGCGAACAGGAUUAGAUACCCUGGUAGUCC